GUGCAUGUGUCUCCACAUUAGUUCAUGCUAACUAUUGUUUCAUGCUGUCUAUUCACAGAACAUGAAAAAACAAAACAAAACACUGGGGAGAUAAUAUGCCAGAAUAAUAGCAGCUAUGGUAUUUCAGAAUCUCUACAUUUGUUAAAUUGUAAGACAAAACACGAGGGAUCCUAAACUGAAACAAAAGCACAGAAUUUUAAUGCUGCAGUAUGGCUAAGACCAUCUGAAGAGCUUGGAGAAAUAAUGAGGAACACCUCACAUACUUGUGAAGAGGUAAAUUCAUGUAGCUUACUGGAGUCAACAAAGUAAAAGU
Molecule: long non-coding RNA, 313 nt
Filed under: Mustela putorius furo (domestic ferret)
Lineage: Eukaryota; Metazoa; Chordata; Mammalia; Carnivora; Mustelidae
Description: lncRNA (ENSMPUG00000024221.1)
Source: RNAcentral